GAUGAAGAACGUAGCGAAAUGCGAUACUUGGUGUGAAUUCCAGAAUCCCGUGAACCAUCGAGUUUUUGAACGCAAGUUGCGCCCGAAGCCGUUAGGCUGAGGGCACGCCUGCCUGGGUGUCACAAAUCGUUGCCCCAAUGCCAAUCGCCUCACUUUGUAGGUAUUUGCUUGGGGUGAAUGUUGGCCUCCCGUGAGCUUUGUCUCACGGUUGGUUGAAAAUCGAGUGCAUGGUGUCGGGUGUACCAUGAUGGAUGGUGGUUGAGUGAUGAUGCUCGAGACCAAUCAUGGGUAACUCCACCAGAAUUGGGCUCGGUGACCCACAUGCGUCCCUUGGAUGCUCCCUAAGGAGACCUCAGGUCAGGCGGGGCUACCCGCUGAGUUUAAGCAUAUCAAUAAGCGGAGGA
RNAcentral lists this unclassified non-coding RNA (404 nucleotides) under soil metagenome. RNAcentral's name for it is "partial contains 5.8S ribosomal RNA, internal transcribed spacer 2, and large subunit ribosomal RNA". The stretch from base 1 to 122 matches the Rfam family "5.8S ribosomal RNA", at positions 35 to 154 of the family's 154-position model. The record is from RNAcentral.